Molecule: ribosomal RNA, 301 nt
Filed under: uncultured bacterium
Lineage: Bacteria
Description: partial 16S ribosomal RNA
Rfam family: Bacterial small subunit ribosomal RNA
Source: RNAcentral
CAGCCGCCGCGGUAAUACGAAGGUGGCUAGCGUUGUUCGGAAUUACUGGGCGUAAAGGGCGCGUAGGCGGCCAUUCAAGUUAGAUGUGAAAGCCCUGGGCUCAACCUAGGAAUUGCAUUUGAUACUGUUUGGCUUGAGUUCGGGAGAGGUGAGUGGAAUUCCCAGUGUAGAGGUGAAAUUCGUAGAUAUUGGGAAGAACACCGGUGGCGAAGGCGGCGACCUGGUCCAUUACUGACGCUGAGGCGCGAAAGCGUGGGGAGCAAACAGGAUUAGAUACCCCCGUAGUCCCUGUCUCUUAUAC